Molecule: ribosomal RNA, 910 nt
Filed under: uncultured bacterium
Lineage: Bacteria
Description: bacterial SSU rRNA
Rfam family: Bacterial small subunit ribosomal RNA
Source: RNAcentral
ACGCUGGCGGCAGGCUUAACACAUGCAAGUCGAACGGUAACAGGAAUUAGCUUGCUAAUUUGCUGACGAGUGGCGGACGGGUGGGUAAUGCUUGGGAAUCUGACUUAUGGAGGGGGAUAACUACGGGAAACUGUAGCUAAUACCGCGUAAAAUCUUCGGAUUAAAGGGUGGGACUUUCGAGCCACCUGCCAUAAGAUGAGCCCAAGUGGGAUUAGGUAGUUGGUUAGGUAAAGGCUGACCAAGCCGACGAUCUCUAGCUGGUCUGAGAGGAUGACCAGCCACACUGGAACUGAGACACGGUCCAGACUCCUACGGGAGGCAGCAGUGGGGAAUAUUGCACAAUGGGGGGAACCCUGAUGCAGCCAUGCCGCGUGAAUGAAGAAGGCCUUCGGGUUGUAAAGUUCUUUCGGUGACGAGGAAGGUUGAUAGGUUAAUAGCCUAUCAAAUUGACGUUAAUCAUAGAAGAAGCACCGGCUAACUCCGUGCCAGCAGCCGCGGUAAUACGGGGGGUGCGAGCGUUAAUCGGAAUAACUGGGCGUAAAGGGCACGCAGGCGGUGACUUAAGUGAGAUGUGAAAGCCCCGAGCUUAACUUGGGAAUUGCAUUUCAUACUGGGUCGCUAGAGUACUUUAGGGAGGGGUAGAAUUCCACGUGUAGCGGUGAAAUGCGUAGAGAUGUGGAGGAAUACCGAAGGCGAAGGCAGCCCCUUGGGAAUGUACUGACGCUCAUGUGCGAAAGCGUGGGGAGCAAACAGGAUUAGAUACCCUGGUAGUCCACGCUGUAAACGAUGUCGAUUUGGGGAUUGGGCUUUGAGCUUGGUGCCCGUAGCUAACGUGAUAAAUCGACCGCCUGGGGAGUACGGCCGCAAGGUUAAAACUCAAAUGAAUUGACGGGGGCCCGCACAAGCGGUG